ACAAUUUUGGAUGCAAAAAAUGAAAUGGAAGGUCUCUAUUUAUAAACCAAAGGAUGGUUAAAAAAACGAAACGAUCCAUGGAAAAAAUUGAUUACCUAAUAUAUUAGGUCUUAAAUCUAAUCUUUUAGGUACCACAAAUUAUUAAUUAUUUAUGCCCAUUAUUGAAGGUUUUGAUAUAGUGUCAUUAACAUUUAUUAAGACACUAUUAUAAUCGAUUAUAGACUCGUUU
RNAcentral lists this long non-coding RNA (229 nucleotides) under Lathyrus oleraceus (garden pea). RNAcentral describes it as "Pisum sativum (pea) long non-coding RNA (PSAT_LNC004728)". Lineage: Eukaryota; Viridiplantae; Streptophyta; Magnoliopsida; Fabales; Fabaceae. The record is from RNAcentral.